This 396-nucleotide ribosomal RNA is filed under the name uncultured bacterium. RNAcentral describes it as "partial 16S ribosomal RNA". It matches the Rfam family "Bacterial small subunit ribosomal RNA", at positions 523 to 918 of the family's 1533-position model. The record is from RNAcentral.
AUACGGAGGGUGCAAGCGUUAAUCGGAAUUACUGGGCGUAAAGCGCACGCAGGCGGUUUGUUAAGUCAGAUGUGAAAUCCCCGGGCUCAACCUGGGAACUGCAUCUGAUACUGGCAAGCUUGAGUCUCGUAGAGGGGGGUAGAAUUCCAGGUGUAGCGGUGAAAUGCGUAGAGAUCUGGAGGAAUACCGGUGGCGAAGGCGGCCCCCGGGACGAAGACUGACGCUCAGGUGCGAAAGCGUGGGGAGCAAACAGGAUUAGAUACCCUGGUAGUCCACGCCGUAAACGAUGUCGACUUGGAGGUUGUGCCCUUGAGGCGUGGCUUCCGGAGCUAACGCGUUAAGUCGACCGCCUGGGGAGUACGGCCGCAAGGUUAAAACUCAAAUGAAUUGACGGGG